GUUGCUGCUGCGACGCCGAGGACGAGCCGGCGGUCAGGCCGUCCAGCACCUUCCUGAUGUUGAAUUUCCUCAUGGUCUCGGAGGGGCUCCCCCGCAGCCCGGGAGGGGAGGCACAGGGGGUCCCCGGGCGGGGGAGACCACCCGGGGCCGAAGGCAGCUUCGACCGCGGAAACGGAGGAGUGGGAGUGUGAGGAGAAAUAUGCAAUGAUGACAUUUCCAAGAAGUGAUGGCAUCUGGCGCUAAGGACAAAGAAUGGGAUUUUGCCACAGGGAUCUUAUUCUCCCACAUGUUCUGUCUGAAGGAGAAAGUUAUCUGAGGCCUUAUAUGAUGCAAAACUUUGGACUCAAAGAAAUUAAAUCACUUGCCCAAGGUUACAUAGCUGCCCCUGGCAAACACCAUUCUACUUUCCGUCUCUAUGAAUUUGACUACUCGAAGUACCUCAUGUGAAAUGUUGGUGCCAAAUGAACUUUUCUGGUUCUUCUGAAUAUGCCACUGUUGCUGGAGAAAUGUCACUGCUAGAGAACAGAAGACUAUUAUUCCAAAGGGUAUUUGAGACUGACUGAAUCAGGUCUGGAACAUUAUUGAAAUGAGACCCACAAAAGAAGAGAUACUGAGGUGGUGACCAGAUGGAUAUAAACGGGCUGUGGAAAAAGAGAAUGCAUGGCCAAAAAUGGUGGUGCUCUCUGUCCAAAAACUGAGGCCCUAUGACCAUGAAUGAAGCCAGAGGGCAGGUAGGAAUAGAUCAUUUGCUCCAGAAGAAGCUGGUUGCCAUGUCUUGAGGACAGUAAACCCUCUGGGGAGGUUCCUGUGGUAAGGAACAAGGGCUCCUGGCAAUAGCCUCUGAGUGAGCCACCUUGAAAAUGGAUUGUCCAGCCCCAGUCAAGCUUUCAGAUGACUGUAGCUCCUGCCAAUGUCUUCACCACAACCUCAUGAGAUCCCAAGCUACAACCACUCAGUUAAGUUAUGCCAAAAUUCCUGAUUCACAGAAAUUGACAUACAGGAGAGGUCACAGUUAAGAUCUUGAUGUUCUAUCUUGACCCAUAAUAUAGGAACUUCAUCUUUUGGGAAGCACCAGGGAGAGCUGCCUGUGCCUGGCAGAAGCUGCCCAUGCCCCACUGAUACCCCACAGUACUUCCUGUUCUGCUUAGUACUCCUGCUUCUUUCUACAAACAACUGUGAUUCUCUACCUGGGAGCUUCCUCUGGCCACAGGAGCCUGCUCACCUGAUUGGGACACCCUAGCAGUACUGGCUCAUAGAUGGAAGGGACUUGCCUUGUCGCUGAUGAGACUUUCGACUUGGACUUUUGAGUCAAUGCUGGAAUGAGUUAAGACUUUGGGGAACUGUUGGAAGGGUGUGAUUGUGUUUUGAAUUGUGAGGACAUGAGAUUUUGAAGAGGCUAAUGGCAGCGUCCCCACCUAAAUCUCUUCUUGAAUUGUAGUUCCCAUAAUCCCCACGUGUCGUGGGGUGGAGCCGGUGGAGAUAAUUGAAUCAUGGGAACACUUUCCCCCAUGCUGUUAUUGUGAUUGUGAAUUCUCACGAGAUCUGAUGGUUGUAUAAACGCCUUCCCUCUUCGCUGGGCACUCAUUUUUCUCCUUCCUGCCACCAUGUGAAGAAGGAUAUGCUUGCUUCUUGUGCCAUGAUUACAAGAACACACUCAGAAAUUUUCUCAACACAGUUUCUAUGCAGAGAAGAGAUGUGGGACAGAUUUGAACUGCUGUCAUAUUUGUAUGAACCCAAGACAUUUUCCAAGACCAAGAGGGAUAAAGACAGCAAUUUCUAUGACUGGCAUUUUACGUGCAUGCACUGUUUCCAAGUGUUCUUGUGUUCUGUGCCUUAAACAUUCUGUGUUGCAACUUUAUGAAUUGAAUUAAAGAUAAUCCCAAGCC
Molecule: long non-coding RNA, 1886 nt
Filed under: Homo sapiens (human)
Lineage: Eukaryota; Metazoa; Chordata; Mammalia; Primates; Hominidae
Description: non-protein coding STXBP5-AS1:17
Source: RNAcentral